CAGUUUAUGGGGUUGGGGCAUUUAGGGAGCCUCCAGGGUCCCUACAGUCUCAUCUGAUCCCUUCCUUCCUUCCUCCUGUGAGGAAGGAGGAACCUAGAAGCACAAGUUUGAGUGGGUAGGUGGCAUUGAGGGGCCACCGCUCAUGGCAGCUGGGUUUCUGAGAAUGCUGUCUCUGGCUUUGCCCCAGGCCUGAUGCUGAGUGAAUGGAGCUUUCUGCAGGGAGUACUCCUGCUUUCAGCUCUGGCUCUGGCAGGGAGGGACUGUGGGAGGCCAGGGGAAGGGGCUCAAUACCUUCUGACAUUGCCCCCCACCACCCCAGAACUUCUGCAGCCGAGCUGCGCUGGAGGCCCUGGGGUCCUGUCUGAACAACAAGUACUCGGAGGGUUAUCCUGGCAAGAGGUGAGGGCUGGAGGGCAGUGUCAGGGAUGGUGCUCCCAGUGGGGGAACCCACCUGUACCUUCCCAGUGUUCAUUGAGGAGUGAACUUCCCAGUCCUUUGCUGAUGGUUGAGAGUCCUUUCUCUGUACCCUCAUUACCCCUCUCCCACGGCAGAUACUAUGGGGGAGCAGAGGUGGUGGAUGAAAUUGAGCUGCUGUGCCAGCGCCGGGCCUUGGAAGCCUUUGACCUGGAUCCUGCACAGUGGGGAGUCAAUGUCCAGCCCUACUCCGGGUCCCCAGCCAACCUGGCCGUCUAUACAGCCCUUCUGCAACCUCACGACCGGAUCAUGGGGCUGGACCUGCCCGAUGGGGGCCAUCUCACCCACGGCUACAUGUCUGACGUCAAGCGGAUAUCAGCCACGUCCAUCUUCUUCGAGUCUAUGCCCUAUAAGCUCAACGUGAGUGCUCUAGGGUGUGGGGAGGGGCUCUUGGCCCUGGUGGUGGUCCUGCCCUGGAGAAGCUGAGGGACUGGAGUGCUGGGCGGUCCUCAGGGUUAAGGAGGAGA
Molecule: small RNA, 941 nt
Filed under: Pongo abelii (Sumatran orangutan)
Lineage: Eukaryota; Metazoa; Chordata; Mammalia; Primates; Hominidae
Description: retained intron
Source: RNAcentral